GGACGAACGCUGGCGGCGUGCUUAACACAUGCAAGUCGAACGGAAAGGCCCUGCUUGCAGGGUGCUCGAGUGGCGAACGGGUGAGUAACACGUGGGUGAUCUGCCCCUUACUUUGGGAUAAGCCUGGGAAACUGGGUCUAAUACUGGAUAGGACCAUGCUGUAGGUGGUGUGGUGGAAAGAUUAGUUUCGGUAAGGGAUGAGCUCGCGGCCUAUCAGCUUGUUGGUGGGGUAAUGGCCUACCAAGGCGUCGACGGGUAGCCGGCCUGAGAGGGUGGACGGCCACAUUGGGACUGGGAUCCGGCCCAGACGCCUACGGGGGGCAGCAGUGGGGAAUAUUGCACAAUGGGCGCAAGCCUGAUGCAGCGACGCCGCGUGGGGGAUGACGGCCUUCGGGUUGUAAACUCCUUUCAGCCAUGACGAAGCCCUUGUGGUGACGGUAGUGGUAGAAGAAGCACCGGCUAACUACGUG
RNAcentral lists this ribosomal RNA (470 nucleotides) under uncultured bacterium. Its description in RNAcentral is "partial 16S ribosomal RNA". It matches the Rfam family "Bacterial small subunit ribosomal RNA", at positions 27 to 507 of the family's 1533-position model. The record is from RNAcentral.